Molecule: unclassified non-coding RNA, 409 nt
Filed under: Hevea brasiliensis (rubber tree)
Lineage: Eukaryota; Viridiplantae; Streptophyta; Magnoliopsida; Malpighiales; Euphorbiaceae
Source: RNAcentral
AAAAACUAAGCUUCAGUUCAUUGUAAACAGCCAAUUCCAUAUCUCAAUGCCAUGCUAUGGGAAUCAACAACAAAGCCUAUUUGUCCUUCACAAUAUAUUAGGUUACAAGAUACCCCUUUUGCACACCUUUUUCAUAAAGCAACUAAAUUAGAUUAGCGCAUCCCAACAAUUGAUUUUAUUUGGAAAUGUACCCAACAAAGAGAUAAAUGACAAAUAAAUAAUAAAAUGAAUUCUGACUUUGAUUCAGAAACUUUUUUCAAUUUAAGAAAAAUAAACUACUGAUAAUUUAAGUUAUUAAAAACUAAAAGAUGUGCAAAUGAAUAAAUAAAUAAAUUUAUAAAAAACCCUAAUUAACAUAUUGAAAUAUAUAUGAAGCCUGGGUAAUUUCCAGUUAGGGGAACGGUACAAA